UGUUCAGGUGCAGAACAACAGAUUUGUACCAAGGGAUUUGAACUUGCAACCUUUCGGCUACUAGCCCAACACUCUAACCACUAGGCUACCCUGCCGCCCCAAAUAUGCUGGACCCUAUGUCAGAUCGAUGUUUCUGGGACCACACUGUUUCUUUCAAGACAAUAACCCAAAACACACUGCAGCCUGGGUUUAUAUUGCAAAUGAGGGCAUAAACUGGGUCAAGAUGCCAGCAGAUAACUUAAUUGCCGCCUGUGGAAACGGAUGUCUCUACACCUUUCAUUAUGCAAGGCUAGGCUGCAAGAUCCAACGCUCAUACUCUGCAGUAGUUUACAAAAGAAUGUCAAUUUCAAUGCACAACAAGACAGGUUGAUUAUUUUGGAUUAGCAUCUGAACACUGGAGAAAAAAGUUGAUUUUCCUGGGGCACAAAAAAACACUUAAUUUUGAUUUCAACUUGUUCAACAACAAUUGGAACAGGAACUUGAUAGGAAAAUGCUUUAAUGUUGUUGACAAAAUGUGCUACUAAAUAUAUGUACUGUGGGAUAUGGUGGUGUGUUGCUGUGAUUAGCAUUUCAAUGAGCCUUGUUUGAAUACUCACAUUGAGAGCUUUGAACAGGAG
Molecule: long non-coding RNA, 617 nt
Filed under: Salmo salar (Atlantic salmon)
Lineage: Eukaryota; Metazoa; Chordata; Actinopteri; Salmoniformes; Salmonidae
Description: lncRNA (ENSSSAG00000105450.1)
Source: RNAcentral